RNAcentral lists this ribosomal RNA (497 nucleotides) under uncultured bacterium. RNAcentral describes it as "partial 16S ribosomal RNA". It matches the Rfam family "Bacterial small subunit ribosomal RNA", at positions 28 to 507 of the family's 1533-position model. The record is from RNAcentral.
GAUGAACGCUGGCGGCGUGCCUAAUACAUGCAAGUCGAGCGAACGGACGAGAAGCUUGCUUCUCUGAUGUUAGCGGCGGACGGGUGAGUAACACGUGGAUAACCUACCUAUAAGACUGGGAUAACUUCGGGAAACCGGAGCUAAUACCGGAUAAUAUUUUGAACCGCAUGGUUCAAAAGUGAAAGACGGUCUUGCUGUCACUUAUAGAUGGAUCCGCGCUGCAUUAGCUAGUUGGUAAGGUAACGGCUUACCAAGGCAACGAUGCAUAGCCGACCUGAGAGGGUGGUCGGCCACACUGGAACUGAGACACGGUCCAGACUCCUACGGGACGCACCAGUAGGGAAUCUUCCGCAACGGGCGAAAGCCUGACGGAGCAACGCCGCGUGUGUGAUGAAGGUCUUGGGAUCGUAAAGCUCGGUUAUUGGGGAAGAACAUAUGUCUAAGGAACUGUAGACAUCUUGACGGUACCUGAUCAGAAAGCCCCGGCUAACUACGUG